Non-coding RNA from Cucurbita pepo subsp. pepo (vegetable marrow), 140 nucleotides. NCBI's taxonomy places the organism in Eukaryota, Viridiplantae, Streptophyta, Magnoliopsida, Cucurbitales, Cucurbitaceae. The record is from RefSeq and is a predicted model, not a curated record.
GGGCGUUAUAAUGAUGAUGUAAUCGCGUAUCUCCUCACUAGUCUUGACCCUGACUAUGAUCCCUUCGUUACCUCGAUGACUACUAAGAGUGAAGCCCUCACGCUUGAUGAUGUGUUUGCAUAUCUAAUGGCGUUUAAAGC